GGUAACCUGCCUUAUAGUGGGGGAUAGCCUUUCGAAAGGAAGAUUAAUACCGCAUAAGAUUGUAGUAUCGCAUGAUAUAGCAAUUAAAGGAGCAAUUCGCUAUAAGAUGGACCCGCGUCGCAUUAGCUAGUUGGUGAGGUAAUGGCUCACCAAGGCGACGAUGCGUAGCCGACCUGAGAGGGUGAUCGGCCACAUUGGAACUGAGACACGGCCCAGACUCCUACGGGAGGCAGCAUG
RNAcentral lists this ribosomal RNA (237 nucleotides) under uncultured bacterium. Its description in RNAcentral is "partial 16S ribosomal RNA". It matches the Rfam family "Bacterial small subunit ribosomal RNA", at positions 120 to 353 of the family's 1533-position model. The record is from RNAcentral.